AAAGCGCACGUAGGCGGAUAUUUAAGUCAGGGGUGAAAUCCCGCAGCUCAACUGCGGAACUGCCUUUGAUACUGGGUAUCUUGAGUAUGGAAGAGGUUAGUGGAAUUGCGAGUGUAGAGGUGAAAUUCGUAGAUAUUCGCAGGAACACCAGUGGCGAAGGCGGCUAACUGGUCCAUAACUGACGCUGAGGUGCGAAAGCGUGGGGAGCAAACAGGAUUAGAUACCCUAGU
Molecule: ribosomal RNA, 230 nt
Filed under: uncultured bacterium
Lineage: Bacteria
Description: partial 16S ribosomal RNA
Rfam family: Bacterial small subunit ribosomal RNA
Source: RNAcentral